Molecule: ribosomal RNA, 429 nt
Filed under: Gemmatimonadota bacterium
Lineage: Bacteria; Pseudomonadati; Gemmatimonadota
Description: Gemmatimonadetes bacterium partial 16S ribosomal RNA
Rfam family: Bacterial small subunit ribosomal RNA
Source: RNAcentral
UAGGGAAUCUUCGGCAAUGGACGAAAGUCUGACCGAGCAACGCCGCGUGAGUGAAGCAGGUUUUCGGAUCGUAAAACUCUGUUGUUAGAGAAGAACAAGGACGUUAGUAACUGAACGUCCCCUGACGGUAUCUAACCAGAAAGCCACGGCUAACUACGUGCCAGCAGCCGCGGUAAUACGUAGGUGGCAAGCGUUGUCCGGAUUUAUUGGGCGUAAAGCGAGCGCAGGCGGUUUCUUAAGUCUGAUGUGAAAGCCCCCGGCUCAACCGGGGAGGGUCAUUGGAAACUGGGAGACUUGAGUGCAGAAGAGGAGAGUGGAAUUCCAUGUGUAGCGGUGAAAUGCGUAGAUAUAUGGAGGAACACCAGUGGCGAAGGCGGCUCUCUGGUCUGUAACUGACGCUGAGGCUCGAAAGCGUGGGGAGCAAACAGG